RNAcentral lists this ribosomal RNA (477 nucleotides) under uncultured bacterium. RNAcentral's name for it is "partial 16S ribosomal RNA". It matches the Rfam family "Bacterial small subunit ribosomal RNA", at positions 28 to 507 of the family's 1533-position model. The record is from RNAcentral.
GAUGAACGCUGGCGGCGUGCCUAAUACAUGCAAGUCGAGCGGACAGACCCUGCUUUUGCUGGUCGGUCGUUAGCCGAGCAGGUGUGUAACACGCGUGUAUCACGUCCCUGUCUGACGGAGAUCUCUUCGGGACACGGGCUCUAACACCGGAGAAUCUCCUGAAGCGUGUGGGGGGAUGGAAAGUUACGGUGUUUUCGGCGGUUGGGGAGGGAUCCGCGCUUCAUCAGCUGGUUGGUGGGGUAACGGCUUUUCAAGGGUAUGAUGGGUAGCAGGCCUGAGAGGGGGACCGGCCACAUUGGGACUAAGAUACGGCCCAGACUCCUACGGGAGGCAGAAGGGGGGAAUAUUGCAAAAUGGGCGGAAGCCUGAUGCAGCAACGCCGCGUGCGGGAUGACGGCCUUCGGGUUGUAAACCGCUUUCGCCUGUGACGAAGCGUGAGUGACGGUAAUGGGUAAAGAAGCACCGGCUAACUACGUG